RNAcentral lists this ribosomal RNA (468 nucleotides) under uncultured bacterium. Its description in RNAcentral is "partial 16S ribosomal RNA". It matches the Rfam family "Bacterial small subunit ribosomal RNA", at positions 28 to 507 of the family's 1533-position model. The record is from RNAcentral.
GACGAACGCUGGCGGCGUGCUUAACACAUGCAAGUCGAACGGAAAGGCCCUGCGUUUGCGGGGUGCUCGAGUGGCGAACGGGUGAGUAACACGUGAGGAACCUGCCCUUGACAUUGGGAUAUCUCCAGGAAACUGGGGCGAUAACCGCGUAGAAUCUCUUGCUCCGCGUGGUGGGUUGGAAAGUUUCGGCGUUGGGGGCUGUACUCGCGGGUUAUGAGCUGUUUGGGGGGGUAGUGGCUUACAAGGGCUUUGACGGGUAGCCGGCCUGAGAGGGGGGCCGGGCACAAUGGGACUGAGGUACGGACCAGAAUCCUACGGGAGGCAGCAGUGGGGAAUAUUGCACAAUGGGCGGAAGCCUGAUGCAGAAACCCCGGGUGCGGGAAGCCGGGCUUCUGGGUGUAAACCGCCUUCGCCUGUGCCGAAGCGGGAGUGACGGUAAUGGGUCAAAAAGCACCGGCUAACUACGUG